RNAcentral lists this ribosomal RNA (466 nucleotides) under uncultured bacterium. RNAcentral describes it as "partial 16S ribosomal RNA". It matches the Rfam family "Bacterial small subunit ribosomal RNA", at positions 28 to 507 of the family's 1533-position model. The record is from RNAcentral.
GAUGAACGCUGGCGGCGUGCUUAACACAUGCAAGUCGAACGAUGAAGCCCAGCUUGCUGGGUGUGUUAGUGGCGAACGGGUGAGUAACACGUGAGUAACCUGCCCUUAACUCUGGGAUAAGCCUGGGAAACUGGGUCUAAUACCGGAUAGGAGCGUCCACCGCAUGGUGGGUGUUGGAGAGAUUUAUCGGUUUUGGAUGGACUCGCGGCCUAUCAGCUUGUUGGUGAGGUAAUGGCUCACCAAGGCGACGACGGGUAGCCGGCCUGAGAGGGUGACCGGCCACACUGGGACUGAGACACGGCCCAGACUCCUACGGGAGGCAGCAGUGGGGAAUAUUGCACAAUGGGCGAAAGCCUGAUGCAGCGACGCCGCGUGAGGGAUGACGGCCUUCGGGUUGUAAACCUCUUUCAGUAGGGAAGAAGCGAAAGUGACGGUACCUGCAGAAGAAGCACCGGCUAACUACGUG